CAUAAAUUGAUGUACAUAACCUUUUGUUGGUGUAAAUUAUGUCUCAUAAUUACACUUUACUUAAGUUGACUUAGGGAAAUGCAUUUCAUAGUAGUUUGGAUAUGAGACAUUUAGGGAAGUGUGCACAUUGGGAUGAUGUAUGCAGGAGAAAUUUCACCUUUUGUGGUCUUAUCUUGUUACAUUCCACCUUCGGUGGGUGAUUUGUAGGAUAUUAGAGUUGUUGGAAUGUGUUGUUGUCAUUGAUGUCAACAUAUUCCUGUGUUUCUUGUGUUUUGGUGUUGUAGAGUGUUGGUUUGGUUGCAUAUAUGUUGAUGCAGAAUAAUGAGUUAGAUACUUAUCUCUAAUUGAUUCAGUAUGAGUUUCAGUGUUCCAGAAGGUGUUUUGAUCGAGUUAUGUGAUCUGGUGUGAUGAUUGGUUCUUCUGUUGGUUUUGUAUUGCAGAGUUGUGAUUUCUGGUUUGUAUGGCUCCUGAAUUGAUUCUUUAUAUUGUGCGGAUUUUGGAGAGUGUUUGGGAUGUUUAUGUGUGUUCUCAAUUCAGGUGGUUCAUGAUUUGGAACUUCACAAGCGUAUCUUUCAAUUGUUGUUGGUGUUCUUGAGCUUAGGUGAUGAAAUGAUGAUUCUAGUUAUCCGAGUUGUUGCGGUCGUUGCGGAGGAAUUCACGUUGCUUGUUGGUGUUUCUAGAUUGUGUGCUAUGUGUUUUGGUGGUUUGCAUUGAUCGUGAUGAUUUUGAUGAGGUAUUCGAUGGUGUUGCAUGUUCGAGGAUUUGAUUUGGGUCCAUGCCAUGUCCUUGCCGACAUUGUAUUGGUCCGCAUAUUGAUUUAUAUAUAUCGUGUGAUGUAAUUUUGUAA
Cryptomeria japonica (Japanese cedar) is the source of this 847-nucleotide long non-coding RNA. RefSeq lists it as uncharacterized. The transcript has 2 exons. Lineage: Eukaryota; Viridiplantae; Streptophyta; Pinopsida; Cupressales; Cupressaceae. The record is from RefSeq and is a predicted model, not a curated record.